RNAcentral lists this ribosomal RNA (469 nucleotides) under uncultured Oomycota. Its description in RNAcentral is "LSU rRNA". It matches the Rfam family "Eukaryotic large subunit ribosomal RNA", at positions 326 to 629 of the family's 3401-position model. The record is from RNAcentral. Lineage: Eukaryota; Oomycota.
GUGCGAGACCGAUAGCGAACAAGUACCGUGAGGGAAAGAUGAAAAGAACUUUGAAAAGAGAGUUAAAGAGUACCUGAAACUGCUGAAAGGGAAGCGAAUCGUAUCCAGUGUCUAUAAUCUGCGGCAUAUUUCAUUGGCGGCAGUGUGCGUGUGCUUUUGCGUCGGAAGCGGCUUUUGUUGCUCUGUGCUUUUGCUGUGCGUGCUAUUGCUGGUGCCCUGUGUUGCGGUGGGACGUCAGAGUCAGUUCGUAUGCUGCGGGAAAUGGCCGCCGAGGAGGUAGGUCAGGACUUCGGUCUUGGCUGUUAUAUCUUGGUGGUUUGUUGUCGUGGUUGGGACUGAGGUGCCUACAACGUGCUUUUGAGUGUGCCGGGUUCUCAUUUGGUGGACUGUUUGGAUAGCUUGCUAUGCUUGUGGUUUUUUCAUCGAGUGAUUGAGUCUGGUGGUAACUUGUUGCUGUUCGGGACUUUGA